This 3297-nucleotide ribosomal RNA is filed under the name Pestalotiopsis fici. RNAcentral describes it as "LSU rRNA". It matches the Rfam family "Bacterial large subunit ribosomal RNA". The record is from RNAcentral. Lineage: Eukaryota; Fungi; Ascomycota; Sordariomycetes; Amphisphaeriales; Sporocadaceae.
UAUAUGAUAUAGAUAAAUAUUUAUAUAUUUAAUAUAAAAAAGUAUACAAAGAGAUUAUUAUGGAUCCCUAAGCUAUGUAUUAAAGAGCAACAAGACAAUCAAAAAAGAAUAAAUUAUAUCAUUUAAAAUUUAUUCUAUAUGGUAAACUCUUAGAGAAAUUAAAUAAUAAACGAAGGCGAAUUGAAAUAUCUUAGUAGCUUCAGGAAAAGAAAUCAAACGAGAUUCUAUGAUUAGUGUGAACGAAAGUAGAUUAGCCUAUAUACUAUAAAGUAUAUUAAUAAGUAAAAUGGACGCAAAUCUGUUUGAAGAUUAAGGGGAACCUUCCUCUAAGGCUAAAUAUAAUACAUAAGCGACAGUGAAAAGUACCGUGAGGGAACGGGAAUUGAAAUAGUAAUUUUAUAAGCAGCUCGAACUAAAAUGAGAGCGUACCUUUUGCAUAAUGGGUCACCAAGUUAACCUUAGAUGCGAGCUAAUCGCGUAGUUAAAACGAUGAUCAAUCAAAUGAAUUAGUGUCUAAAGUUAGACCCGAAGCUAGGUGAUCUUACUACAAUCAGGAGUAUAAAAGUCCGAACCGGUUAUUGUAGCAAAAAUAUCGGAGGAAUUGUGGUAAGUAUAGUGAAAGACAAAACUGACCUAGAUAGCUGGUUUUCUGCGAAACCUAUAAUAGUAGGCAAUUUAAGUAACAUUUUAGCAGGUACAGAACUUCAUCUCAGACAAGGUGUAUUAAAUUUGAUUAAAAGUUUUAGUUGGUUUUUUGCCGGGAACUUUUAGUUAAAUCGACAUCUUACUUUGUACAUAUCGGGGGAUCGUAGAGAUUUUAUCGGUGAGUUUGUAGACUCGAAAUGGCAAAAAUGAAUCUUAAAUUAUCAGACAUAGAAUGAUAAGGUUGUAUGUCAAAAGGGAAACAGCCCAGAACAAGAGUUAAGGUUCCGAAAUUAUUGUUAAGUGAAAUUAAGAAAGUUUUUAUUUAAGUCGACAAGGAGAUGGGCUUAGAAGCAGCCAUAAUUCAAAGACCUCGUAACAGAGCGCUUGUUAAUUUUUAAAGGCAUCGAAAAUUUAACGGAUCUAAACAAUAUACCGAUACCUUGUCCAUAACUGAUUAUAAAUUUAAAUUAUAAGGCGAUAAGCUUUUAAUUAUAAUCUUUUACUGGGGUAGCAGAACAUUGGGUAAACCUGCAGCAUUCCAUCGUUUUUUACGAUGGAUGCGACUCCAUUGGAGAUGAUGAUAAUUAUAUCAUCACAGCAAACUCAAGAGAGAAUGGUGACAUGAGUAACAAAAAAGAAGUUCGAACAUAAGUUCGAACACUCGCCUAAAGCUUAUGGUUUAAUUAAAGUAACGGCCUCUAAGUUUUCACUUCCAAAGGUUGAAACGAUGAGAAAAUCUUAUUACUUACAUGACAACAUUUUUAAAGUGAAAAGUGUGCAGGAAAAAUUAAGUAAUAUAUCUUUAUAUAUAGUCAUUUCUUAUGUAAAGAUGAAAAAAAACCGUACCUAGAAACUGUGACAAGUAAGCUAGUGUAGUAUACGAAGGCGUAAAUGAGCUAACAAUCAUAAAGGAACUCGGCAAACUAACUUCCGUAACUUAGGGAUAAGGAGGGCUCAUUCGUCCCGUGGGAUCUUUUAUUAUUACGGUAAUAAAGACUACGGGUAAGAAGGAAGAAGCAUGAAAUAUUGUUGUACGACUGUUUAAUUAAAACAAAGCACUUUGCAUACGACUUAAGUCUAAGUAUAGAGUGUGAUUUCUGCCCGGUGCCGGCUGGUUAACGAAAAUAACUAACUUUAAAAAGUUUGGUACUGUAGGAACCCCCGGUUAAUGGCGGCCUUAGCGUGAGGGUCCUAAGGUAGCGGAAUACCUUGACUGUUAAAUGCAGUCUUUGCAUGAAUGAUGUAACGAUACAACAGCUGUCUCUAUGAUUGACUCAGUGAAAUUGGCAUAACUGUGCAGAUACAGUUUACCUCUAGUUAGACGAGAAGACCCUAUGCAGCUUUACUGUUACUAAUUAUUAGGUACGGUUGGGGACAACUAUCAGCAAAUAAGGUAAUUGAUAAGAUACAAAUGUAAUACCUUUAUUUGGGGAUCGUAUUGUGAGGAUUAUUUAAUCCCCGUCUUUUCUGUAAAAAGGAAAAGAAUGUAACCUUAGAAAGGAAAAAUUGCUAGGAGACAGUUUAUGCGGGGCACAGACCCCACAAAGAGUAAAUGGGUGUGUCCAACUAUGUUUUAUGUUUAUUUAAGCGUUUAUCGCCAAUAGAUGUAUCACUAAAUAAAAUAUUAGUUUUGCUAAGGCAAAGCCCAAGCUUCAGCCACCUUAAAUGGCGGCCGAAGCUAAUAUUUGUUUGUUUGUAAUAGUAGAUAGCACGGCUAUACAGCUAGCUAUAUUCUAUCUUAUUUAUGUAUAGAUGUACAAGCCUAAAUAUAAGAGUUUCUUAUAUUUAAUAAUUCUUGCUUUUCUGUAAAUAGAUGCUGUUGUUUCAGUAUAGAUUUGCAGGGUAUUAAGGAGGAGAAUUUUUUUUUUUUAGGUAGGAUUUAAACUAUUGAGAAAUUAGUCGUAGUUAAGAUGUUACGAAAAGUUUUUUCUAACAUCUUAUUAAUUAUUAUAUAAGGCUUUGAAUAGCAGCACAUAUAAUAGAUUAUGUAAGAUACUUAUCAAGUUUAAUGGCUAAAUCUUGCCUUACUGUUUGACCACCAACAAGUCUUACAGUCGCGUAAGCGGGGCAUAGGAUCACAAGACACAACAAGGAAAGGUCUUGGAUUUUUGGAAAAGCUACGCUAGGGAUAACAGGCUAAUUUGCGCAAGAGUGUGCAAAAUGAGUGCGCGGUUUGGCACCUCGAUGUCGGCUUAACUUAUCCUCAUGGAUGCAGAAACUAUGUAGGGUACGACUGUUCGUCGAUUAAAAAGUUACAUGAGCUGGGUUAAAUACGUCGUGAGACAGUAUGGUUUCUAUCUUCUAGAGGGAAUUAGAAUAUAAUAAGGAAUAACCUAUGUACGAAAGGAACUUGGAAUAUUAAUUUAUUAAUAUUGAAAUAAUAGAAUUAUUAAUCUCUGGUUUACCUGUUGUUUAUAUGUCCUAAUUUAUAGGACUAUCCUACUUUCACUUAAGUAGUUAUGAUAAUAUAGGCACGGCAGGAAAGCUAUGUUAGUCAAAGAUAAGUGCUGAAAGCAUAUAGGCACGAAGCUUACCUUAAGAUAUUUCUUAAAUAUACGUAAUAGAACAUUACAAACAUAAUAUAAAGAUAGGUUAGCCCUCUUUUUAUUAUGAAGAUAGGCUUUAUUUGUAAGAAUCAAGAGAUUUUAAGGA